RNAcentral lists this ribosomal RNA (2109 nucleotides) under Pandoraea commovens. Its description in RNAcentral is "Pandoraea sp. LMG 31010 23S ribosomal RNA (partial)". It matches the Rfam family "Bacterial large subunit ribosomal RNA", at positions 3 to 2163 of the family's 2925-position model. The record is from RNAcentral. Lineage: Bacteria; Pseudomonadati; Pseudomonadota; Betaproteobacteria; Burkholderiales; Burkholderiaceae.
UCAAGCGAAUAAGUGCAUGUGGUGGAUGCCUUGGCGAUUACAGGCGAUGAAGGACGCGAUAGCCUGCGAAAAGUUGUGGGGAGCUGGCAAAUAAGCAUUGAUCCACAAAUGUCCGAAUGGGGAAACCCGGCCUUUUAGGUCAUCCUAGACUGAAUACAUAGGUCUAGCGAAGCGAACGCGGCGAACUGAAACAUCUAAGUAGCUGCAGGAAAAGAAAUCAACCGAGAUUCCCAAAGUAGUGGCGAGCGAAAUGGGACCAGCCUUCAAGAUUUAGCACCGGUGUUAUCAAAACGGAAUGGAAAGUCCGGCCAUAGUGGGUGAUAGCCCCGUAUGAGAAAACCCUGGUGUGGAACUAAGCUUGAGAAAAGUAGGGCGGGACACGUGAAAUCCUGUCUGAAGAUGGGGGGACCAUCCUCCAAGGCUAAAUACUCGUAAUCGACCGAUAGUGAACCAGUACCGUGAGGGAAAGGCGAAAAGAACCCCGGGAGGGGAGUGAAAUAGAUCCUGAAACCGCAUGCAUACAAACAGUCGGAGCCUCGUAAGGGGUGACGGCGUACCUUUUGUAUAAUGGGUCAGCGACUUACAUUCAGUGGCGAGCUUAACCGAAUAGGGAAGGCGUAGCGAAAGCGAGUCCGAAUAGGGCGUUCAGUCGCUGGGUGUAGACCCGAAACCAAGUGAUCUAUCCAUGGCCAGGUUGAAGGUGCGGUAACACGUACUGGAGGACCGAACCCACUAACGUUGAAAAGUUAGGGGAUGAGCUGUGGAUAGGGGUGAAAGGCUAAACAAACUUGGAAAUAGCUGGUUCUCUCCGAAAACUAUUUAGGUAGUGCCUCGUGUAUCACCUUCGGGGGUAGAGCACUGUCAUGGUUGAGGGGUCCAUUGCGGAUUACCUCGCCAUAGCAAACUCCGAAUACCGAAGAGUGCAAUCACGGGAGACAGACAUCGGGUGCUAACGUCCGGUGUCAAGAGGGAAACAACCCAGACCGCCAGCUAAGGUCCCUAAAUAUUGCUAAGUGGGAAACGAAGUGGGAAGGCUAAAACAGUCAGGAGGUUGGCUUAGAAGCAGCCACCCUUUAAAGAAAGCGUAAUAGCUCACUGAUCGAGUCGUCCUGCGCGGAAGAUGUAACGGGGCUAAGCAAUAUACCGAAGCUGCGGAUGCGAGCUUGCUCGCAUGGUAGGAGAGCGUUCUGUAAGCCUGUGAAGGUGUCUUGUAAAGGAUGCUGGAGGUAUCAGAAGUGCGAAUGCUGACAUGAGUAGCGAUAAAGGGGGUGAAAGGCCCCCUCGCCGUAAGCCCAAGGUUUCCUACGCAACGUUCAUCGGCGUAGGGUGAGUCGGCCCCUAAGGCGAGGCAGAGAUGCGUAGCUGAUGGGAAGCAGGUUAAUAUUCCUGCACCGUCGUAUGAUGCGAUGGGGGGACGGAUCGCGGAAGGUUGUCCGGGUGUUGGAAGUCCCGGUCCCUGCAGUGGAGAAGGCGCUUAGGCAAAUCCGGGCGCGUAAUUCAAGGCUGUGGGGCGAGUGAACUUGUUCACGAAGCAAUUGGAAGUGGUUCCAAGAAAAGCCUCUAAGCUUCAGUCAUACGAGACCGUACCGCAAACCGACACAGGUGGGCGAGAUGAGUAUUCUAAGGCGCUUGAGAGAACUCGGGAGAAGGAACUCGGCAAAUUGGUACCGUAACUUCGGGAUAAGGUACGCCCUUGUAGCUUAACUGGCCUGCGCCAGAAGGGUGAAGGGGUUGCAAUAAACUGGUGGCUGCGACUGUUUAAUAAAAACACAGCACUCUGCAAACACGAAAGUGGACGUAUAGGGUGUGACGCCUGCCCGGUGCCGGAAGAUUAAAUGAUGGGGUGCAAGCUCUUGAUUGAAGUCCCGGUAAACGGCGGCCGUAACUAUAACGGUCCUAAGGUAGCGAAAUUCCUUGUCGGGUAAGUUCCGACCUGCACGAAUGGCGUAACGAUGGCCACACUGUCUCCUCCCGAGACUCAGCGAAGUUGAAGUGUUUGUGAUGAUGCAAUCUACCCGCGGCUAGACGGAAAGACCCCAUGAACCUUUACUGUAGCUUUGCAUUGGACUUUGAACCGGUCUGUGUAGGAUAGGUGGGAGGCUUUGAAGC